CACUCGGCCCCCUCCAGUGUGGAGCUGCAGCAGGGGAAGGCUACACUGGUGUGUUUGGCCAACAAGGGCUUCCCCUCAGACUGGACGCUGAGCUGGAAGGUGGACGGUAUCAGCCAGACAUCAGGUGUGAGUGUGAGUGGGGGUGUGCUGGAGAAGGGAAACGGCCUCUACAGCUGGAGCAGCACCCUGAGCCUCACUGAGCAGCAGUGGAGGAACAUACGAGCAGUGAGCUGUGAGGCCAGACAGGGCAGCCAAAGCCCAGUCACCCACAGCCUGACCACACAGCAGUGCACUGACCUCUGA
Colossoma macropomum (tambaqui) is the source of this 303-nucleotide non-coding RNA. Lineage: Eukaryota; Metazoa; Chordata; Actinopteri; Characiformes; Serrasalmidae. The record is from the annotation of a RefSeq genome assembly.